CCUACGGGGGACAGCAGUGGGGAAUAUUGGACAAUGGGGGGAACCCUGAUCCAGCGACGCCGCGUGAGUGAAGAAGUAUUUCGGUAUGUAAAGCUCUAUCAGCAGGGAAGAAAGAAAUGACGGUAUCUGACUAAGAAGCCCCGGCUAACUACGUGCCAGCAGCCGCGGUAAUAAGUAGGGGGCAAGCGUUAUCCGGAUUUAAUGGGGUUAAAGGGAGCGUAGACGGCGAUGCAAGUCUGACGUGAAAGGCGGGGGCCCAACCCCCGGACUGCUUUGGAAACUGUAGGGCUGGAGUGCGGUAGAGGUAAGGGGAAUUCCUAGUGUAGCGGUGAAAUGCGUAGAUAUUAGGAGGAACACCAGUGGCGAAGGCGGCUUACUGGACUGUAACUGACGUUGAGGCUCGAAAGCGUGGGGAGCAAACAGGAUUAGAUACCCGAGUAGUC
This 443-nucleotide ribosomal RNA is filed under the name uncultured bacterium. RNAcentral's name for it is "partial 16S ribosomal RNA". It matches the Rfam family "Bacterial small subunit ribosomal RNA", at positions 338 to 795 of the family's 1533-position model. The record is from RNAcentral.